Molecule: ribosomal RNA, 252 nt
Filed under: uncultured bacterium
Lineage: Bacteria
Description: partial 16S ribosomal RNA
Rfam family: Bacterial small subunit ribosomal RNA
Source: RNAcentral
UACGUAGGGGGCAAGCGUUAUCCGGAAUCACUGGGCGUAAAGGGUGCGUAGGCGGCCAAUAAAGUCUGGGGUGAAAGGCUACGGCUCAACCGUAGUAAGCCUUGGAAACUUAUUGGCUUGAGUGCAGGAGAGGUAAGUGGAAUUCCUAGUGUAGCGGUGAAAUGCGUAGAUAUUAGGAGGAACACCAGUGGCGAAGGCGACUUACUGGACUGUAACUGACGCUGAGGAACGAAAGCGUGGGGAGCGAACAGG